RNAcentral lists this transfer RNA (93 nucleotides) under Candidatus Desantisiibacteriota bacterium. RNAcentral's name for it is "Candidatus Desantisbacteria bacterium (hot springs metagenome) tRNA-Ser". It matches the Rfam family "tRNA". From Rfam's summary of the family: Transfer RNA (tRNA) molecules are approximately 80 nucleotides in length. Their secondary structure includes four short double-helical elements and three loops (D, anti-codon, and T loops). Lineage: Bacteria; Candidatus Desantisiibacteriota. The record is from RNAcentral.
GGAGAGGUGGCCGAGCUGGCUUAAGGCAACCGCCUGCUAAGCGGUUAGUCCUUUAAUCGGGACUCCCGGGUUCGAAUCCCGGCCUCUCCGCCA